UGGGGAAUCUUGCACAAUGGGGGAAACCCUGACCCAGCAACGCCGCGUGAAGGACGAAGGCCUUCGGGUUGUAAACUUCUUUGAUCAGGGACGAAAAAAAUGACGGUACCUGAAGAACAAGCCACGGCUAACUACGUGCCAGCAGCCGCGGUAAUACGUAGGUGGCGAGCGUUAUCCGGAUUUACUGGGUGUAAAGGGCGUGUAGGCGGGUUUGCAAGUCGGAUGUGAAAUUUCCGGGCUUAACCCGGGCAGGUCAUCCGAAACUGCAGAUCUUGAGUACUGGAGAGGAUAGUGGAAUUCCUAGUGUAGCGGUAAAAUGCGUAGAUAUUAGGAGGAACACCAGUGGCGAAGGCGGCUAUCUGGACAGUAACUGACGCUGAGGCGCGAAAGCGUGGGGAGCAAACA
RNAcentral lists this ribosomal RNA (405 nucleotides) under uncultured prokaryote. RNAcentral's name for it is "bacterial SSU rRNA". It matches the Rfam family "Bacterial small subunit ribosomal RNA", at positions 355 to 774 of the family's 1533-position model. The record is from RNAcentral.